RNAcentral lists this ribosomal RNA (481 nucleotides) under uncultured bacterium. Its description in RNAcentral is "bacterial SSU rRNA". It matches the Rfam family "Bacterial small subunit ribosomal RNA", at positions 329 to 803 of the family's 1533-position model. The record is from RNAcentral.
GAGAUAACUCCUACGGGAGGCAGCAGUGGGGAAUUUUGGACAAUGGGGGCAACCCUGAUCCAGCAAUGCCGCGUGAGUGAAGAAGGCCUUCGGGUUGUAAAGCUCUUUUGUCAGGGAAGAAACGGUAGUAGCUAAUAUCUAUUACUAAUGACGGUACCUGCAGAAUAAGCACCGGCUAACUACGUGCCAGCAUCCGCGGUAAUACGUAGGGUGCAAUCGUUAAUCGGAAUUACUGGGCGUAAAGCGUGCGCAGGCGGUUGUGUAAGUCAGAUGUGAAAUCCCCGGGCUCAACCUGGGAAUUGCAUUUGGGACUGGACGGCUAGAGUGUGGCAGAGGGGGGUAGAAUUCCACGUGUAGCAGUGAAAUGCGUAGAUAUGUGGAGGAACACCGAUGGCGAAGGCAGCCCCCCGGGAUAACACUGACGCUCAUGCACGAAAGCGUGGGGAGCAAACAGGAUUAGAUACCCGAGUAGUCCUCCACU